Molecule: ribosomal RNA, 253 nt
Filed under: uncultured bacterium
Lineage: Bacteria
Description: partial 16S ribosomal RNA
Rfam family: Bacterial small subunit ribosomal RNA
Source: RNAcentral
UACAGAGGUGGCAAGCGUUGUUCGGAAUUAUUGGGCGUAAAGGGCGCGUAGGCGGCCAUUCAAGUGACGGGUGAAAGCCCUCGGCUUAACCGAGGAACUGCCUGUCAGACUGGAUGGCUUGAGACCGGGAGAGGUGAGUGGAAUUCCCAGUGUAGCGGUGAAAUGCGUAGAUAUUGGGAGGAACACCAGUGGCGAAGGCGGCUCACUGGACCGGAACUGACGCUGAGGCGCGAAAGCGUGGGGAGCAAACAGG